GCCACUUUUGUCUGAAAUCAAAACGGAACAGAGGAGACUGAGAUCAUCUGAGGCAGCUGCUUUAGUGGUAUUUGAUAAAUAAAGAGUUUGAGUUUUGGGGGAGAGUAUGCUGAGAAGCAGGCAGCUUUAGAGAGAGUGAGUGAUGCAACAGAUUAUUGAUGAACACCAUUCUCUCACUCAACUUGCUUACUACCUCGUCCGCGUGGUUGAGAACCUGGCACUGGCUUUUUUGGGGUUUUGGAACAGUCGACUUUGGAAAUCAGGUUUUGGAUGCUUCUCUUAGUGAUGGCUUUGAUGGAUACGCU
Non-coding RNA from Camelina sativa (false flax), 305 nucleotides. NCBI's taxonomy places the organism in Eukaryota, Viridiplantae, Streptophyta, Magnoliopsida, Brassicales, Brassicaceae. The record is from RefSeq and is a predicted model, not a curated record.